Molecule: ribosomal RNA, 458 nt
Filed under: uncultured marine microorganism
Description: bacterial SSU rRNA
Rfam family: Bacterial small subunit ribosomal RNA
Source: RNAcentral
GGGGAAUUUUCCGCAAUGGGCGAAAGCCUGACGGAGCAAUACCGCGUGAGGGAGGAAUGCCUUUGGGUUGUAAACCUCUUUUCUCAGGGAAGAAGAUCUGACGGUACCUGAGGAAUAAGUAUCGGCUAACUCCGUGCCAGCAGCCGCGGUAAUACGGAGGAUGCAAGCGUUAUCCGGAAUCAUUGGGCGUAAGGCGUCCGCAGGUGGUUUCCAAAGUCUGCUGUUAAAGACUGGAGCUCAACUCCGGAACGGCGGUGGAAACUUGGAAACUAGAGUUCGGUAGGGGUAGCAGGAAUCCCCAGUGUAGCGGUGAAAUGCGUAGAUAUUGGGAAGAACAUCGGUGGCGAAGGCGUGCUACUGGACCGUAACUGACACUCAGGGACGAAAGCUAGGGGAGCGAAAGGGAUUAGAUACCCCUGUAGUCCUAGCUGUAAACGAUGGAAACUAGGUGUGGCUUG